AUUUGUCGUCUAACUUGAUUGAAAUAUUGUCCAAUCAAGCGAAACAGCAGUUAAAUCA
This is a non-coding RNA of Streptococcus sobrinus W1703, 58 nucleotides long. NCBI's taxonomy places the organism in Bacteria, Bacillati, Bacillota, Bacilli, Lactobacillales, Streptococcaceae. The record is from Rfam.